AUUAAAUAAUAAUCAUAAAUAACAUUUUACCACUGAUAUAAUCCAUAAUCUGUAAACGUCAAUCGAAUCGCACCUAGUAUCAAUUUCCAUCUAGCUUGUUACGGGUGGGAUAAACCUUCAAAUCCAGUUCUACGUGUACGAUUCAUUUCCUGGCUGUAUAAACCCCCAGAAAAACAUGGCA
Sitophilus oryzae (rice weevil) is the source of this 181-nucleotide long non-coding RNA. RefSeq lists it as uncharacterized. The record is from RefSeq and is a predicted model, not a curated record. The transcript has 2 exons. NCBI's taxonomy places the organism in Eukaryota, Metazoa, Arthropoda, Insecta, Coleoptera, Curculionidae.